Molecule: long non-coding RNA, 1085 nt
Filed under: Linum usitatissimum (flax)
Lineage: Eukaryota; Viridiplantae; Streptophyta; Magnoliopsida; Malpighiales; Linaceae
Description: long non-coding RNA (LUSI_LNC003122)
Source: RNAcentral
UGAUCUACUGCAUAAUUUCUCACCUCAGCCUCUUCCAUCCAUGCUUUAUAUUUAUCCGUAUGGCUUUCGGAAGCGGUAGAUAUCAUCAGCUCCAAAAAGCAAUUUUGUUUACGGAAAGAAUGAAAGUUGCUUUCGAAGGUACAAGUUUCGAACAUUAAUUUUUUAUUAUUUAUACUGAUUCCUGUGUUUCUCACUUGCCAACCGAUUGGUGAUGACUUAACAAGAUAAGAACGUGGAGAUGUAUCUCAUGUUUUUGGAAUUUGUUUCUUUUUCUCCAAGGUGACGGGAGCGGGACCAUCUAUUAAUAGUUAGCAGAGCACUAAUGAUUCUUGGCGUCCGCAUUUUUUUUACCUCAGGUAAUCUACAGCCUUUUUUAUCUUACGUACGUCUUAUUUGCUAUAUGAUCUAAAGAAUGGAGUUCGUGUAGACUAUUCUACUUGGUUAGGUAAUGAGAUAAGCUUACAGUACAACUUAUAAGUUUGAUUCUCAUUGAUUCAGGUUGUGUAAAUUAGAGUGGAAAGAAAACACUAGGUUCUAAAAUGAAAGAAUGUAACUAGUUAACUUUUCCAGUGACAGACUAGAAGAGCCACCUUGUUUUAUGCAAAACUCAGCCUUUUCCUUCAGAUACUUGACCUUCUUCGUCAGUUCUUCACCUUCUGGUUCUACCAUUAAUCUUCUGAUAACAUUUUCAAUCUCCUUUCUCUCCACCUUUUUCUCCAAAUGCAACCCAAUUCUCCAAACGUCACUCACAUACCUGGCAUUUACCAUCUGAUCCCCUGCUAUGGGAUGACUAAUCAUAGGAACACCUUCACAUAUACUCUCCAGUGUGGAAUUCCAACCAUUGUGUGUCCAGAACCCACCUGUGGCCGGAUGUGCCAGCACCUCUUGUUGCGGAGCCCAUUUCACAAUCCGCCCUCUUCCCUUCACAAUCUCCAUAAACCCAUCAGGAAACCCCUUGAGCCAAUCCGACCCUGAAACCAAUCCUGGUCGAACCACCCACAAGAAGGGCUGGUUGCUACUAACUAUCCCCGAAGCUAUCUCCUGGAACUCACUCUGGCUGAUCAUCAGGCUAUCUCCGGUCUUGC